AGCAUAACUUACUGACUUACCAGUUAAGUAUAGUCAUCACUUACUGUGAAAUUCCAGAUGCCUGCCAGGCUCAGCUUGUAUCUUCAUCCUUCGAGAAGCAUCUCAACAGGCUGGGUUUCCCUGUGUUGGUUUAGAAAGCUUUCCUGCCUGGGCAUUAAAGAAAGAAAGUGGCCUUGUGUGCUGCUCUGGACAGAUCCCUGGAGGAUAUGAGAUACCCUGUCAGUUCACACUUCUCAUUUCUUCUCCAAGCAUAGCUCUAGCACCCUUCAGCUUCUGCUCACCGUUAGCCUGUCAGUCUGGGCCCACUAGACAAGGCAGGAGCUCUCCAGCAUCCGAAAGCAUUGCUGCUGUUUGCGCUUCAGUUCUUACUGCACAUGUAUCUCAUUGGCUUUGGAAUAGCUGAGUAGCUCCUGUGGUUUUUAUUUUUGUGGAUCUACAGUGUACAUGUGCUACCUAGUCAGGUAGGAGUCCACCAUCUUAGCUCUGACUCAGGGUGCCAGCAAUGGGUCAUUUCUGUCUCUUAGGAGGUAGAAGAGGCCUUGUGCUCAGGGCAAGCUUUCAUUCCCACAGGUGAGGGACACUUGCAAAGUGCCAGCAAGGCUAGAUGUUUUGCCACUUCUUUGAUUUUUAUUAAUUUGGGCUUUUAAAGGGCUGUUUAAAAAAAAAAAAAAAAAAGCGGCCGGGAACCUCUGAGUAGGUGUGCUGCGUCCGGAGCUCCCUCGAACCUAAGCUAGAGGUCAUCUUUUACAGUGUACUUACUUGAAGAAGCUCUAUUCUAAUCAAUGAGAAUCUAUUUGAGUCUGCAAUUUAAGUUAAAACCUUUUCCGUUUCAAAUUGCUUUAUUUCAGGGAAAUAAUUUUCCAGUUGUUUUUGCUAUAUUCUGCAAAUAAAAAGUGUGUGUUUCCUUUUUUCCACCUAAACUUUGGUAGGAAACAGACUAAAGCAGACAAACAUUUCUUGUUGUGUUUGUUGCUUUCUUUAAUCCAAUGGAUAAAAAAAGUAAAACCCUGUAAACAUUAUUUUAUUUUUUUAUGCAAUACCAUGCUGUAAAUAGGGUUCAUCGAGUAAGGAUGCGCCUACCUAUGACUGAACCUUUGAUUCUGCACAGUUAGAGUUUAUAUAUAAACGUGUCUUGACAAUCAAGGACUUGAUGUGAGUCUUCCUUUAUGAUGUUUAUUAAUGUUAUGCAUUCCAUUUGUUUGAAGUGAGUACCAAUGUGCUAAUUUGUAUUGUCUGAAAGUAUGUAAUGUUUUUACAGCUUGUUUUUAAGACUCUGUAAAUAUGUACAAACCAGUCACAGUACCGCUUUAUGUUAGAAGGCGUGUGAUGUUGUACUGUAUGUAAGCAAUAAUACAUAGCAGUGCUAACUUUACAAGUAGCAUCAGGAACGUUCUAGAGAAACAUUUCAGAGUUAUCCUUAUUAGUUACCCUUGUUUCACUUAAUAAUGAUUACCUUUAAUCAGUUUUUAUAAGCAAAUUCCAUUGUUCCUCCUGUUGGAACGUAACACUGUUUACACAGCAUAACUGACGUUGCAGGGGGGACAGGCUAGAUGUGGCUUCGCCUGUGCUCACUCUCACUAAGCAUUGAAUGGCCUUACCACUCUUGUGCAAAGAUGGAGGAAGACCGCUGAACUUAGUGCCCAUCACACUGAAGGAAGGGAUGUGUUUUGUUUUGUUUUGUUUUGUUUUCCUGUUUCUGUACGGCUACCUAACUCUGGUUUGCUUUGGGUUUUAAUGUGUUUCUGCUCUAGAUUCAAGCCCGCAAGUGUUGAGGUAACUUCAGUUCAGUUGUGAAGUAGAUAGAUUUCUUCAUAUUUCAUAGCUACAUUUCAAUGAUUCUAAACUUUCUACUUUGAUUUUUAGAUACUUAUUUUUCAAGCUUGAUUUCUCAGCUGACCAGAUGAAUUUACUCAACUUCAAUACAAAGAAAGACAAACUUAUAGCUUGAAGUGAGUAGAUAUUAUACUGUACAGAGCAGCUCUCUGAACACCCAUCACUGCUUUAGAAACGAAGCCGCCAAUUUAUAAAUGAUUAUGACCUACAUUUUAUAGGGAAAAUGUUUUUAAUGCUAGUCAUUUAUAUAAUGUGCUUUGAAGGGUUUGCUAGGCCACUCCUGUCACUUUUUAGCACACUGGUACCUUUUCUAUGUAAUGUAUGCUUUUUAUUAUUGUAGCAAAGCAUUUCAGUAGAAAGAAUUUUGCAACAAUAUGGGGGAAAUUUUUCAUUGUCGGGUUUGAAUUAUACUGGAUUUUAUCUGUCUAGUCUUACUUGUCUUUAUUUUAAUGCUGUCUGGAAGGGACCUUGGUACCCAAAUAAAGCAGGUUAACCUCAUUGCUUCAAGGGCAUACAUACUGUGUAGUGCUGAGUUUCACCUGGAAAUCUGAUGACUUUGAAAAGAAAAACACAUUUAUAAAAAUUGUACAGAAGAAAUUAAAUGUGUGAUGGAAAUCCUGAUGGUGGAGCACAUUGGAUUUUCUGAGACAUAGUGUUAUUUUCCUGGAAUCCCUUAUGCCUUCUUUGUAUUCCAGCCAAUAAAGAAAACCUUGUUGUUGAAAGUGGUAGGCUGCUAGGAUAUUCUGAUUAUACAGUAUUGCUUUUCCUGUCCUGGUCUCGGCCCCUCUCAAUUGCUGUAAACUUUUAUUUUCUACUUCCUAUUGCUAAUUAAACAUGUAUAUAAUGU
RNAcentral lists this long non-coding RNA (2680 nucleotides) under Mus musculus (house mouse). RNAcentral describes it as "long non-coding RNA chr16:33499699-33502379". Lineage: Eukaryota; Metazoa; Chordata; Mammalia; Rodentia; Muridae. The record is from RNAcentral.